GGAAUUGACGGGGCCCGCACAAGCGGUGGAGCAUGUGGUUAAUUCGACGCAACGCGAAGAACCUUACCAGGGCUUGACAUCCCCUGACCGCGUAUGAAAGUACGUUUUCACCCUCGGGUGACAGGGAGACAGGUGGUGCAUGGUUGUCGUCAGCUCGUGUCGUGAGAUGUUGGGUUAAGUCCCGCAACGAGCGCAACCCCUACGUUUAGUUGCUAACAGGUGAAGCUGAGCACUCUAGACGAACUGCCGUUGACAAAACGGAGGAAGGUGGGAUGACGUCAAAUCAUCAUGCCCCUUAUGUUCUGGGCUACACACGUGCUACAAUGGCCGGUACAGACGGAGGCGAAGCCGCGAGGCGGAGCAAAUCCGAAAAAGCAGGCCUCAGUUCAGAUUGCAGUCUGCAACUCGACUGCAUGAAGCCGGAGUUGCUAGUAACCGCAGGUCAGCAAUACUGCGGUGAAUACGUUCCCGGGUCUU
RNAcentral lists this ribosomal RNA (477 nucleotides) under uncultured Pelotomaculum sp. RNAcentral describes it as "bacterial SSU rRNA". It matches the Rfam family "Bacterial small subunit ribosomal RNA", at positions 906 to 1382 of the family's 1533-position model. Lineage: Bacteria; Bacillati; Bacillota; Clostridia; Eubacteriales; Desulfotomaculaceae. The record is from RNAcentral.